Molecule: ribosomal RNA, 361 nt
Filed under: uncultured bacterium
Lineage: Bacteria
Description: bacterial SSU rRNA
Rfam family: Bacterial small subunit ribosomal RNA
Source: RNAcentral
AAUCAACGCUGGCGGCGUGCCUCAGACAUGCAAGUCGAACGAUUAAACUUUCCUUCGGGAAAGAUAUAAAGUGGCGCACGGGUGAGUAACACGUAAGUAAUCUACCUUCGAGUGGGGAAUAACGUCGGGAAACCGACGCUAAUACCGCAUAAUGCAGCGGCAUCUAAUGAUGACAGUUGUUAAAGAUUUAUCGCUUGAAGAGGAGCUUGCGGCAGAUUAGCAGUUGGUAAGGUAAUGGCUUACCAAGGCUACGAUCUGUAACCGGUCUAAGAGGACGGUCGGUCACACUGACACUGAAUAACGGGUUAGACUCCUACGGGAGGCAGCAGUCGGGAAUUUUGGGCAAUGGGCGAAAGCCUGA